GAUGAUGAUCCCAAGCCUUCUGGCGAUCUAGACAAAACAAGUCCACCGUGGGCUUUGAAAAACGCUUUCCUUGAUAAAAUUUAAGCGUUUUAUAAGAGGAUGCCGGGGAAGGUUUUCCGGUUUAUCCCGGAGGGCUUGUAGCUCAGUUGGUUAGAGCGCGCGCUUGAUAAGCGUGAGGUCGGAGGUUCAAGUCCUCCCAGGCCCACCAGUUUAUCCAUUACUUUCAUAAGUGCUUUUAAAAAAUAAGUACUUCUAAAAAGAUUGCUUCUAAAAAGCUUAUCAAAAUUGGCAGGCUUAUUGCUUUUGUGUGAGUAAUCCAAAGUUAAAGCAAAUUAAUGGCAAAAAAACAGUUCAAAUGCUAAAUACUAAGGAGUCAAAAUUCCUUGCAAAGUGAUUUUUACAGCGUCCAUUUGGUUGAUAUAAAUUCCAAAUGCUCAUAGACGUCAAUGCCUAUAUGAAACUAUCGGUUCAAUCAUAUCGCUUUGAGUUAUAUAGAUUUUGUAAUCCCUCUUUUGAUCGUUUUAAACGCUUUAUUCUGAUUUAGGGGCCGUAGCUCAGCUGGGAGAGCACCUGCUUUGCAAGCAGGGGGUCGUCGGUUCGAUCCCGUCCGGCUCCACCAUAAGGUCAUCAUCAUUGUUGUAAGAACAGUUUUGUAAAAGGUUUGCGGACCUUUUGCUUGUUCU
This 683-nucleotide transfer RNA is filed under the name Bartonella henselae. RNAcentral's name for it is "partial 16S-23S ribosomal RNA intergenic spacer". The stretch from base 132 to 205 matches the Rfam family "tRNA". The record is from RNAcentral. Lineage: Bacteria; Pseudomonadati; Pseudomonadota; Alphaproteobacteria; Hyphomicrobiales; Bartonellaceae.